Molecule: ribosomal RNA, 679 nt
Filed under: Psychrobacter alimentarius
Lineage: Bacteria; Pseudomonadati; Pseudomonadota; Gammaproteobacteria; Moraxellales; Moraxellaceae
Description: bacterial SSU rRNA
Rfam family: Bacterial small subunit ribosomal RNA
Source: RNAcentral
AUUGGACAAUGGGGGAAACCUGAUCCAGCCAUGCCGCGUGUGUGAAGAAGGCCUUUUGGUUGUAAAGCACUUUAAGCAGUGAAGAAGACUCUUCGGUUAAUACCCGGAGACGAUGACAUUAGCUGCAGAAUAAGCACCGGGCUAACUCUGUGCCAGCAGCCGCGGUAAUACAGAGGGUGCAAGCGUUAAUCGGAAUUACUGGGCGUAAAGCGAGCGUAGGUGGCUUGAUAAGUCAGAUGUGAAAUCCCCGGGCUUAACCUGGGAACUGCAUCUGAUACUGUCAGGCUAGAGUAGGUGAGAGGAAGGUAGAAUUCCAGGUGUAGCGGUGAAAUGCGUAGAGAUCUGGAGGAAUACCGAUGGCGAAGGCAGCCUUCUGGCAUCAUACUGACACUGAGGCUCGAAAGCGUGGGUAGCAAACAGGAUUAGAUACCCUGGUAGUCCACGCCGUAAACGAUGUCUACUAGUCGUUGGGUCCCUUGAGGACUUAGUGACGCAGCUAACGCAAUAAGUAGACCGCCUGGGGAGUACGGCCGCAAGGUUAAAACUCAAAUGAAUUGACGGGGCCCGCACAAGCGGUGGAGCAUGUGGUUUAAUUCGAUGCAACGCGAAGAACCUUACCUGGUCUUGACAUAUCUAGAAUCCUGCAGAGAUGCGGGAGUGCCUUCGGGAAUUAGAAUAC